AGAAUUCUUCCCCCAUCAACUUCUUCCACAUCAAACAUCAGAUCUUUGUUCAUUGUCAUGUGGUAAGAGCAGCCAGAAUCUAGUACCCAGCCUUCCCUCGAGCCUCCAUGAGAUACAGUGAGCAUCAUUGGUUCUGCAUCCAUAGCUUGAGCUAGACUGGCUUCUCCCUUUUGACUUGUUCCAGCCUGGUAUUUCUUGGGACAAUCUUUCUUUAAGUGUUCUUCACUUCCACAAAUCCAACAAGCUCUCUUCUUCUUUGGUUUAGAUUUGCUUCUACUGGAUUUGCCCUUUGACUGACCCCUCUUCUCUGAUCUUCCUCUUGCCUGUACCAGCAACCCCUCAUCAGCAGGCUUUACUGAUAUCAGUCCCUUCUGCUUGAGCUCCAAUUCAAUAAAGUAAGCAGAUCUGAUUAUCUCCUUGGUGGUGAUGGUAUCUUUGGUACUGCUGUACUUCAGAGUAUGAACCAGGUGAUCAUACUUUUUAG
Molecule: long non-coding RNA, 484 nt
Filed under: Arabidopsis lyrata
Lineage: Eukaryota; Viridiplantae; Streptophyta; Magnoliopsida; Brassicales; Brassicaceae
Description: long non-coding RNA (ALYR_LNC001040)
Source: RNAcentral